RNAcentral lists this ribosomal RNA (579 nucleotides) under uncultured Glomeromycotina. RNAcentral describes it as "eukaryotic LSU rRNA". It matches the Rfam family "Eukaryotic large subunit ribosomal RNA", at positions 293 to 766 of the family's 3401-position model. Lineage: Eukaryota; Fungi; Glomeromycota. The record is from RNAcentral.
UGGGUGGUAAAUUUCACCUAAGGCUAAAUAUGUGCAAGAGACCGAUAGCGAACAAGUACCGUGAGGGAAAGAUGAAAAGAACUUUGAAAAGAGAGUUAAAUAGUACGUGAAAUUGUUGAAAGGGAAACGAUUGAAGUCAGUCAUGCUAAUAGGGAAUCAACUUGAUGGUUCGCUCCCUCGGGAGCGAUCUUUCUUGUGUACUUCCUUAUUUGGCAGGUUAGCAUCAAUUUCGGUUGUCAUCAAAAAAUUGAGGGAAUGUGACUUCUUUCGGGAAGUGUUAUAGACCUUGAUAUAUGUGGUGGCCGGGAUUGAGGAUUGCAGCGGAUGCCUUUGGGCUAGUCACCUACCUUCUGACGGUUACCUCGCUUUCGAUAGCUUGCUAACGAUUGUGGGAUUCAACAGUCUAGAUGUUGGAGUGAUCUUAUAUUCGCUAAGGAUGCUGACGUAAUGGCUUUAAACGACCCGUCUUGAAACACGGACCAAGGAGUCUAACAUGUGUGCGAGUGUUUGGGUGAUAAACUCAUAACGCGUAAUGAAAGUAAAUCUGGUGGGAACCUUUUCGGAGGUGCACCAUCGACC